Long non-coding RNA from Sinocyclocheilus rhinocerous, 92 nucleotides. RefSeq lists it as uncharacterized. The record is from RefSeq and is a predicted model, not a curated record. Lineage: Eukaryota; Metazoa; Chordata; Actinopteri; Cypriniformes; Cyprinidae. The transcript has 3 exons.
UCAACCUCUGGAGCUUUGAUGUCCACAUCUGGUGCCUUAAUUUCAAUAUUGGCUUUAGGGAUUUUCACAUCAACAUCUGUACCCUUCUUUCC